This is a non-coding RNA of Salvia hispanica, 203 nucleotides long. NCBI's taxonomy places the organism in Eukaryota, Viridiplantae, Streptophyta, Magnoliopsida, Lamiales, Lamiaceae. The record is from RefSeq and is a predicted model, not a curated record.
CCGAGUCUGGUUCCACCUGAGGUCUUCGACGCGCUGCACGACGUGUUGAACUUCAACGGCGCCCAGGUUUUCCUCAGCUGCGAUCCCUCCCGCAAUGGACCCAACGACUAUCACGUCAUCGCCUCGCCCGACCAUGAGAAAUUUGAGUAUCUUCGAUCCAAGGACUGUAAUUUGCUCGGACGCCAUUCGAAAGAAGGUCAAUG